GAUGAACGCUGGCGGCGUGCUUAACACAUGCAAGUCGAGCGAAGCACUUAAGUUUGAUUCUUCGGAUGAAGACUUUUGUGACUGAGCGGCGGACGGGUGAGUAACGCGUGGGUAACCUGCCUCAUACGGGGGGAUAACAGUUAGAAAUGGCUGCUAAUACCGCAUAAGACCACAGUACUGCAUGGUGCAGUGGUAAAAACUCCGGUGGUAUGAGAUGGACCCGCGUCUGAUUAGGUAGUUGGUGAGGUAACGGCCCACCAAGCCGACGAUCAGUAGCCGACCUGAGAGGGUGACCGGCCACAUUGGGACUGAGACACGGCCCAGACUCCUACGGGAGGCAGCAGUGGGGAAUAUUGCACAAUGGGCGAAAGCCUGAUGCAGCGACGCCGCGUGAAGGAUGAAGUAUUUCGGUAUGUAAACUUCUAUCAGCAGGGAAGAAAAUGACGGUACCUGACUAAGAAGCCCCGGCUAACUACGUGCCAGCAGCCGCGGUAAUACGUAGGGGGCAAGCGUUAUCCGGAUUUACUGGGUGUAAAGGGAGCGUAGACGGCUGUGCAAGUCUGAAGUGAAAGGCAUGGGCUCAACCUGUGGACUGCUUUGGAAACUGUGCAGCUAGAGUGUCGGAGAGGUAAGUGGAAUUCCUAGUGUAGCGGUGAAAUGCGUAGAUAUUAGGAGGAACACCAGUGGCGAAGGCGGCUUACUGGACGAUGACUGACGUUGAGGCUCGAAAGCGUGGGGAGCAAACAGGAUUAGGUACCCUGGUAGUCCACGCCGUAAAC
This 779-nucleotide ribosomal RNA is filed under the name uncultured bacterium. RNAcentral's name for it is "bacterial SSU rRNA". It matches the Rfam family "Bacterial small subunit ribosomal RNA", at positions 28 to 807 of the family's 1533-position model. The record is from RNAcentral.